CCUGGCUCAGGAUGAACGCUAGCGACAGGCUUAACACAUGCAAGUCGAGGGGCAGCACAGGUAGCAAUACCGGGUGGCGACCGGCGCACGGGUGAGUAACGCGUAUGCAACUUGCCUAUCAGAGGGGGAUAACCCGGCGAAAGUCGGACUAAUACCGCAUGAAGCAGGGAUCCCGCAUGGGAAUAUUUGCUAAAGAUUCAUCGCUGAUAGAUAGGCAUGCGUUCCAUUAGGCAGUUGGCGGGGUAACGGCCCACCAAACCGACGAUGGAUAGGGGUUCUGAGAGGAAGGUCCCCCACAUUGGUACUGAGACACGGACCAAACUCCUACGGGAGGCAGCAGUGAGGAAUAUUGGUCAAUGGCCGAGAGGCUGAACCAGCCAAGUCGCGUGAGGGAUGAAGGUUCUAUGGAUCGUAAACCUCUUUUAUAAGGGAAUAAAGUGCGGGACGUGUCCCGUUUUGUAUGUACCUUAUGAAUAAGGAUCGGCUAACUCCGUGCCAGCAGCCGCGGUAAUACGGAGGAUCCGAGCGUUAUCCGGAUUUAUUGGGUUUAAAGGGUGCGUAGGCGGCCUUUUAAGUCAGCGGUGAAAGUCUGUGGCUCAACCAUAGAAUUGCCGUUGAAACUGGGGGGCUUGAGUAUGUUUGAGGCAGGCGGAAUGCGUGGUGUAGCGGUGAAAUGCAUAGAUAUCACGCAGAACCCCGAUUGCGAAGGCAGCCUGCCAAGCCAUUACUGACGCUGAUGCACGAAAGCGUGGGGAUCAAACAGGAUUAGAUACCCUGGUAGUCCACGCAGUAAACGAUGAUCACUAGCUGUUUGCGAUACACUGUAAGCGGCACAGCGAAAGCGUUAAGUGAUCCACCUGGGGAGUACGCCGGCAACGGUGAAACUCAAAGGAAUUGACGGGGGCCCGCACAAGCGGAGGAACAUGUGGUUUAAUUCGAUGAUACGCGAGGAACCUUACCCGGGUUUGAACGCAUUCGGACCGAGGUGGAAACACCUUUUCUAGCAAUAGCCGUUUGCGAGGUGCUGCAUGGUUGUCGUCAGCUCGUGCCGUGAGGUGUCGGCUUAAGUGCCAUAACGAGCGCAACCCUUGCCACUAGUUACUAACAGGUGAUGCUGAGGACUCUGGUGGGACUGCCAGCGUAAGCUGCGAGGAAGGCGGGGAUGACGUCAAAUCAGCACGGCCCUUACAUCCGGGGCGACACACGUGUUACAAUGGCGUGGACAAAGGGAGGCCACCUGGCGACAGGGAGCGAAUCCCCAAACCACGUCUCAGUUCGGAUCAGAGUCUGCAACCCGACUCCGUGAAGCUGGAUUCGCUAGUAAUCGCGCAUCAGCCAUGGCGCGGUGAAUACGUUCCCGGGCCUUGUACACAC
This 1374-nucleotide ribosomal RNA is filed under the name uncultured bacterium. Its description in RNAcentral is "bacterial SSU rRNA". It matches the Rfam family "Bacterial small subunit ribosomal RNA", at positions 18 to 1390 of the family's 1533-position model. The record is from RNAcentral.